AGUGAACGCUGGCGGCAUGCCUAACACAUGCAAGUCGAACGGAAGCACAGUAAGAUCUUGCCCUUACGGUUGGCGAGUGGCGGACGGGUGAGGAAUACAUCGGAAUCUACUUUUUCGUGGGGGAUAACGGAGGGAAACUUACACUAAUACCGCAUACUACCUACGGGUGAAAGCAGGGGAUCUUCGGACCUUGCGCGAUUGAAUGAGCCGAUGCCGGAUUAGCUAGUUGGCGUGGUAAAGGCCCACCAAGGCGACGAUCCGUAGCUGGUCUGAGAGGAUGAUCAGCCACACUGGAACUGAGACACGGUCCAGACUCCUACGGGAGGCAGCAGUGGGGAAUCUUGGGCAAUGGGCGCAAGCCUGAUGCAGCCAUGCCGCGUGGGUGAAGAAGGCCUUCGGGUUGUAAAGCCCUUUUAUUGGGAAAGAAAAGCAGCAGGUUAAUACCCCGCUGUUCUGACGGUACCCAAAGAAUAAGCACCGGCUAACUUCGUG
This 492-nucleotide ribosomal RNA is filed under the name uncultured bacterium. RNAcentral describes it as "partial 16S ribosomal RNA". It matches the Rfam family "Bacterial small subunit ribosomal RNA", at positions 29 to 507 of the family's 1533-position model. The record is from RNAcentral.